UAAAGAAAGCGUAAUAGCUCACUGGUCGAGUCGGCCUGCGCGGAAGAUGUAACGGCGCUAAACCAUGCACCGAAGCUGCGGCAGCGACACUGUGUGUUGUUGGGUAGGGGAGCGUUCUGUAAGCCUGUGAAGGUGGCCUGUGAGGGUUGCUGGAGGUAUCAGAAGUGCGAAUGCUGACAUAAGUAACGAUAAAGCGGGUGAAAAGCCCGCUCGCCGGAAGACCAA
This 225-nucleotide ribosomal RNA is filed under the name Salmonella enterica subsp. enterica serovar Lubbock. RNAcentral describes it as "partial 23S ribosomal RNA". It matches the Rfam family "Bacterial large subunit ribosomal RNA", at positions 1124 to 1348 of the family's 2925-position model. The record is from RNAcentral. Lineage: Bacteria; Pseudomonadati; Pseudomonadota; Gammaproteobacteria; Enterobacterales; Enterobacteriaceae.